Molecule: ribosomal RNA, 219 nt
Filed under: uncultured bacterium
Lineage: Bacteria
Description: partial 16S ribosomal RNA
Rfam family: Bacterial small subunit ribosomal RNA
Source: RNAcentral
GACGAACGCUGGCGGCGUGCUUAACACAUGCAAGUCGAGCGGUAAGGCCCUUUCGGGGGUACACGAGCGGCGAACGGGUGAGUAACACGUGGGUGACCUGCCCUCAGCUCUGGGAUAAGCCGUGGGAAACCGGGUCUAAUACCGGAUAUGACCUCAUGACGCAUGUUGUGGGGUGAAAGGCCCUUGUGGCGGCUGAGGAUGGGCCCGCGGCCUAUCAGC